Molecule: ribosomal RNA, 253 nt
Filed under: uncultured bacterium
Lineage: Bacteria
Description: partial 16S ribosomal RNA
Rfam family: Bacterial small subunit ribosomal RNA
Source: RNAcentral
UACGAAGGGGGCUAGCGUUGCUCGGAAUCACUGGGCGUAAAGCGCAUGUAGGCGGCUUGUUAAGUCAGGGGUGAAAUCCUGGAGCUCAACUCCAGAACUGCGUUUGAUACUGGCGAUCUUGAGUCCGGGAGAGGUGAGUGGAACUGCGAGUGUAGAGGUGAAAUUCGUAGAUAUUCGCAAGAACACCAGUGGCGAAGGCGGCUCACUGGCCCGGUACUGACGCUGAGGUGCGAAAGCGUGGGGAGCAAACAGG